This 761-nucleotide ribosomal RNA is filed under the name Ploeotiidae sp. Its description in RNAcentral is "SSU rRNA". It matches the Rfam family "Eukaryotic small subunit ribosomal RNA", at positions 1153 to 1827 of the family's 1831-position model. The record is from RNAcentral. Lineage: Eukaryota; Euglenozoa; Ploeotarea; Ploeotiida; Ploeotiidae.
UUGACGGAAUGACACCACCAGGCGUGGAGUGUGCGGCUUAAUUUGACUCAACACGGGGAACCUCACCAGGUCAGGACGAAGUAAGGAUUGACAGAUUGACAGCUCUUUCAAGAUCCUUUGGAUGGUAGUGCAUGGCCGUUGUUAGUCGGUAGGGUGACUCGUCUGCUUAACUGCGAUAACGAACGAGAUCUCCACCACUCAAUAGCUGCCGGGCUCGUAUGUAUGAACUCGGUGUAUGUUCCCUUCUGGGUUCGGCCACCUUCGGUUCAGAGAGACCCGGCGCCUCACCCUUUUCGGGUGUAACUUCUCAGUGGGACUGUGUACGUUCUCAGUACACGGAAGAUGGGGCUGAUAGCAGGUCUGUGAUGCUCCUAAAUGUCCUGGGCUGCACGCGCACUACAAUGAUGCAGCCAACGAGCUGAAUCCGGGGUGCCUCCGGGCACGUCUUCGGAUCCUACUUUGAAGAGAGUGGGAAAUCUAUUGAGACUGCAUCGUAUUGGGGAUAGAUGAUUGCAAUUAUUUGCCUUGAACCCGGAAUGCCUAGUAGGCUCAGCUCAUCAGGCUGAACCGAUUGCGUCCCUGUCAUUUGUACACACCGCCCGUCGUUGCUAGCGAUGGUAGAGUUUCAGAGGUGUUAGGAGGAACUUGGCUGUUUGAUUGGUUCCGCCGAUCUUCAGCUGUUCCAAACAUCCCCAAUGAAACUUUACUAGAGCAAGCAAAAGUCGUAACAAGGUUGCUGUAGGUGAACCUGCAGAAGGAUC